RNAcentral lists this long non-coding RNA (677 nucleotides) under Pan troglodytes (chimpanzee). Its description in RNAcentral is "long non-coding RNA NONPTRT012999". Lineage: Eukaryota; Metazoa; Chordata; Mammalia; Primates; Hominidae. The record is from RNAcentral.
UACAGACAAAGAAAUGGAGGCUCACAGAGGUUAAGAAGUUGUAGGGCUGGGAUUUGAACGCAGGGGUUCUAAAAGCACAUGCUUUUAGCCACAGUGUUAUCCUGUUUCAACAGCUACUAGGUGCCUGCAUAAACAUGAGCAGAUAAGAUGGGAGAAUGAAGGUAUUUGAAAUAUGUGGAUUUAAAGCAUCUAGUAAUGAUUAUGAAGAUGCUGAAGGGAUAUGGCUUUGGAUUACAGCAAUAGGCAAGAUGUUAUCUGUUAAUAGACUAAAGAACAGAGAAGUGAUUUCUGUGACUAUAGAGCAAUUUAAAGGAAGAGCUGAGAUUAAACAGUCCCACAUCUGCUUCACUGCUUUGGCCUGCAUGAACUCUCUAAAAUAGAGAUCUGCUGUGCUUAAGAUCCUUCAAUGGUUUCUCCCAAGAUAUUGGGAUCUCUGAAGACAAGGACUGUGUCCCCAGAAACUCAUCGACUCUCUGGUGUCUCUGGGUCUAUGCACAUGAUGUCUCCAAGGCCAGGUAUCAUUAUUUAUCUAAAUCUCCGGAGCCAUUGAGGACCAAGAUCAUACUUGCUGAAUAAAUGCACGGAACAGGAUCAGAGGAUAGACACAGAAUGGGCCAAGAAGAGAAGUAAGCCACACCUUCCCUUCCUGUCUCAGCAUCUGUUCCAUUUCUGCUCAG